CCGUGAAAUCGGACGCUUGCCAUUGAUAUUGUCCUGUCACAGCAGUAUUGUUACACUAUAUUAUAGUUUACUGCUGGGUCGGGGCAUUAACAUUGUUGAGCGUCAUUAGCAACGAGCGGC
RNAcentral lists this microRNA precursor (120 nucleotides) under Drosophila simulans. RNAcentral describes it as "microRNA dsi-mir-1000 precursor". The stretch from base 19 to 97 matches the Rfam family "mir-1000 microRNA precursor family". Lineage: Eukaryota; Metazoa; Arthropoda; Insecta; Diptera; Drosophilidae. The record is from miRBase by way of RNAcentral.